GGAGAGGUGGCCGAGUGGUCUAUGGCGCUGCCCUGCUAAGGCAGACCGGCAGAGUCCGGCGCGAGUUCGAAUCUCGCUCUCUCCGCCA
RNAcentral lists this transfer RNA (88 nucleotides) under Micromonosporaceae bacterium. Its description in RNAcentral is "tRNA-Ser". It matches the Rfam family "tRNA". Rfam says of the family: Transfer RNA (tRNA) molecules are approximately 80 nucleotides in length. Lineage: Bacteria; Bacillati; Actinomycetota; Actinomycetes; Micromonosporales; Micromonosporaceae. The record is from RNAcentral.